Molecule: ribosomal RNA, 577 nt
Filed under: Staphylococcus aureus
Lineage: Bacteria; Bacillati; Bacillota; Bacilli; Caryophanales; Staphylococcaceae
Description: partial 23S ribosomal RNA
Rfam family: Bacterial large subunit ribosomal RNA
Source: RNAcentral
GGGUGAUGGCGUGCCUUUUGUAGAAUGAACCGGCGAGUUACGAUUUGAUGCAAGGUUAAGCAGUAAAUGUGGAGCCGUAGCGAAAGCGAGUCUGAAUAGGGCGUUUAGUAUUUGGUCGUAGACCCGAAACCAGGUGAUCUACCCUUGGUCAGGUUGAAGUUCAGGUAACACUGAAUGGAGGACCGAACCGACUUACGUUGAAAAGUGAGCGGAUGAACUGAGGGUAGCGGAGAAAUUCCAAUCGAACCUGGAGAUAGCUGGUUCUCUCCGAAAUAGCUUUAGGGCUAGCCUCAAGUGAUGAUUAUUGGAGGUAGAGCACUGUUUGGACGAGGGGCCCCUCUCGGGUUACCGAAUUCAGACAAACUCCGAAUGCCAAUUAAUUUAACUUGGGAGUCAGAACAUGGGUGAUAAGGUCCGUGUUCGAAAGGGAAACAGCCCAGACCACCAGCUAAGGUCCCAAAAUAUAUGUUAAGUGGAAAAGGAUGUGGCGUUGCCCAGACAACUAGGAUGUUGGCUUAGAAGCAGCCAUCAUUUAAAGAGUGCGUAAUAGCUCACUAGUCGAGUGACACUGCGCCGA